UUUUCACCCUACUUUUUACUGUAUUUUAGGCUAGAAGGCUUAGGAAAGCCUUAGGUGGAUGCAUGAGGCAACUUGGAGUACUUUGUGCAGCUGCUUAUGUUGCUUUGAGUGAGAAUGUUAGCAAGCUUGAGGAGGAUCAUAGAGAAGCCAAAAUAAUAGCAGAUACUUCAGUUUUAUCACCUAAAAGGCUCUGUCAAGUCUUGGAAGAGCAUGGCGUGCUUGUGCUUCCUUCAAGCUCAACUAGGAACUCCUUUGCAUCAUGCUG
Molecule: long non-coding RNA, 265 nt
Organism: Dendrobium catenatum
Lineage: Eukaryota; Viridiplantae; Streptophyta; Magnoliopsida; Asparagales; Orchidaceae
Exons: 3
Source: RefSeq, a predicted model, not a curated record